Non-coding RNA from Triticum urartu, 4297 nucleotides. NCBI's taxonomy places the organism in Eukaryota, Viridiplantae, Streptophyta, Magnoliopsida, Poales, Poaceae. The record is from RefSeq and is a predicted model, not a curated record.
AUGGGCAUGGCUUGCUGCUAACAUACCACUCGCCGGCUGCGGCGUGCAGGAUCUGUGCGUGCCGCCUAAGUGUUCCACGAAGUUGGCCAUUGUCGCCGCGAGCGGAGGGGUGGGUCUACCGAGGGAGCUGGCCGAGUGCAUGGCCGAGGAGAAGCACGGUGGCGGCGCGGUGCAGGUAGAGGUUCGCGUCGUCUCGCCGAAGCACCGCUCAUUCAUGUCGUGCAUGGCGCCGCUGGCUCGUGGUGCAGCGUCGCCGUCCCCAUGCCAGGGCGUGUUUCUCUCCGAUGAAUCCAACGGCGUUAGGCGUACGGAUGACCCGCCCAGCUUUCUGUUCUAACUUCUGAGAAAGCUUGUAUGCCUUUGCCAGUUUGUCUGCAUUUUCCUCUAAUUUUCCCGUUGGUACAUAAUUCAUGCAUGUUAAUGGAGCUCUUGGUUUGCAAAAUAUGCUAUCGCCUAUAUGUACUUGGAUCUAGCGAUGAGCACGCUCCAUCCUUUUGCAUCGCCGUUCAGAACCUUCCUCGCAGUCAGGGUGUUACCAUCCCGCCUUUUCCCUCCUUCGUCCUCCCCUUCUGCAGCCCAAGCCACGGCCUCUCCUGUGCGCCUCUGUUUUCCUCCCCGUCAAGACCAGGCAGAGGAGGAGCAGUGCGAGCCACGGAGAUGACGAGGUGGUCGAGCUGCCUGUGGCGCCGUCGCCGUACCUCACGGCCCAGCUGGAGGUGUGUCGGCCGCAGAGACGGCAGAGGUCUCAUCCGCUCGCUCUCUCGCCGCCAUAGGAGGAGUGCGCGCAGGGGGAGUGGCGGGUCAAGAUCCGGAGACGGCGGGGCGGCGACCAUUCCCGUGAGGCCCGGCGGCGAGCAGAGCUCCUAUUGCUGAGUGCCGAGGGGUCGAAGGGCGCUCCGGAUCCGGAUCCGGGCGAGGUGGCGGCCAUGGCCGAGCUCGAGCUGCUUGGCGUCCCCGAGGGCGCCUCCUUCGACGAGAUCCUGCGUGCCCCGUCGUCGCCUCCUGCAAGGAUGACCCAGACGCCGUCGCCCAGAAGUUGCUAAUUUAGGAGAAGAAGUCGCCUCCAUCAAAUUGGAAAUGCAUGAAUGGCGACGUAUGUAUGAUGCAUCUUACGGUCUCAUGCCCAGACCCUAAAUUAAUCUACUUCCUUACAUAGCGAAGAAAAGCGAAGACCUGAUGAUCAGUAAUUUGGGCAAUUUGGUGCACAGUUGUUCGCAUGUGAUGAAUCGAGUCUGUUAAAAUAGUCUACUUUUGGCAGUAAGUGCGUUAGCUUAUAGUGGUAGCAUGAUUUGAGGAGGAGGAGCGAGAUUGAAAGAUGGCAGCCAGUCCAACCACGUCGUCUCUUCAUCCCUUUCUCCUUUUCGAUCUUGGAUUUGAUCUGGACGCCGCCGUCGCCAUGGUUGCCUCGCCGUCGUGGCUCAGGAGACGAUGCGCUGUCUCGCGGCUGGACCGGAAAGGGAAGUAACCCAUCUUCUCCUCUCCUUGGCAGCGACGCAGGCCAGCGACGAGGAGGCUUGCAAUGGUGUGUGCCUAACAGAACAUAGAAGACAAAACAGAGAAGAGAGACUACAUGUUCUUGCAAGAUGCAGUCGUGCUGCUGACAGGAACAAUUUUAUCUCAAGUUUCUUCAUCCGACGAAGGAUUUAUAGUGGAUGCACAUCAAUCUGGGAGGAAUUAUCAGGCACACGACCAGCGAGCGGUGACAGAAGCAACUUCUCCAUUAGACUACAUGGCAGUGUUGGUUCUCAGAAAGUGAAGCUCGCCUGCAUGCACUUCCGCCAGUUCUAUGAGGCAAAAUGCAAAGAAGGGUCAGUACUCAGUACCUUAUUAUAUAUGCCGCACAGUAAUUAUUCUCCACUCUCUGUUGUUCACAAUUUUUUUAUGUAAACCUGCCAGCUUAUUUUGUAUUGUAUGGCACUAUAUUUAGCUCAUACCAAUAAGUAUUAUAAAGAACGAACCUGCUGUUCACUUCAUCUGCAAUCACGUGAUUGGUAGAACUUGGUUCAUUAUCUUAAUACGCCUCCUAUAACUUGUGGUUUCUAGACUUCUGCUUAUACCAUGACCGAGUUCUGCAAAACAGAGAAAAUAAUGUUUGUUCCUCUCUUAUUCAAGUUAAUACGAUGUACUGGAGAUUACUGUAAGACGAAAGAACAAAUGAUGAUAUUGUUAAACAUUUUGAAAGAAGGACCUAUUUGUUUAAGAGAAAACCAUCGGCAAUCCAGCGGUGCUGGCUGCUGGUUUUUGAACCCCUGGUUCUAUCCAACAUCAAUGACAAAUGAGCCUUUCUAACAUAUUUCUGCAUUCACAUACGUCAACUUAUUAUGGAAUAUGGUUUUCUGACCUGCGCAUCAAAGCUUAUGAGGGCAACUUAAGAAUUGUAAUACUUGCAGAUGCGUUCAGACCUUGAUGAUUGGCUUCAUACCAUCGCAUUGCUGUCUUAUCUUACAGUUUUGUACAAUAUAUAACUGCACCUGCCAGAAAGCAUGUUCUUAAAAAGCAUGUUCUAGAUUCUUCUCUUUGGAUUUGAGUUAAGUUUUAUCUCCUGACCCUUUUUCGUUCUGAUUGUUUCAUGGUAUCAAAGAAAACCAAUGAAUUUUUGGAUGGGAAGGAGUGCUUCCACAGAAACUUUUUGACCUUCCGUCUAAGUGUACUGAUUUUAUACAUAAAGUUAAAUCUGGCACGACACUAUUCUUGUAUGAUGUUGAGCACCGUAAGCUUCAUGGGCAACUUCAAAUGGAGCCAUGAAUAUCAUUCCUGAUGCAUAUGCCUCGUCAGGGUUUCGGUAUCUUGUCUGUUAUGAAUAUGUUUUAGACAUACCAAGCAUAGUUAUCUAUUCCGUUUAUUCCAGGGUCUCUAUGAAAUUUGUCAGUCACAUGUCGUUGAUAACCCAACUGGAGCAUCUAUCCUCCACUUAUUCCAUAUUUCACGCUAAUUUGUACCUUUCAGAUGGUAAAAGGAAACUGUCAGCAAUUUUCUGUAAUGCUUUGAAAGUUGCCCUUCCUGGCAUAUUAUCGGAGACAAACUAAUACUUUUCCUGUUGUGUUCGCUAAAUAGAGAAACGCUUUAAGAGGAUUUGGUUUUGCAAGCCUUUGAUGGAAAGUGAAUUUGAAGAUGCAGUACAGGAUAAUUAAUGCUUCGCAAGAAACAAGUUUAGUUACGGUUUGACACAUCAACAGCUGGAUCGGUGGGUGGCGACACGUUCGCUGUUUGGUCGAGCCGUCCACGUCGCUGUUGCUGCCGUCCAGGAUGAGCUGCUCAGCCUGCUACUCCACGAGACUCCUUAGCAACAGCUGAAGAGAGGUUUCAUGGGAACAAGCACCCAUCGUUGUUGUCGCCGUUAGCACCGUCCCUUAACUGCGACCCUUUGGACCCUUUGCUGAUCCAGCUCCCAGAUGGUCAGUGCCUGGGGAAGGGAAGUGGUUUCUCUCUGUCGAGGAGGACAAACAGAGAUAGAGGAGGCAGAUGUGAUAUGCUUGGCAUUAUGCUGUGAGGAUAGAGGGCCAUGGAUCUGGAUGUGGAGGUCAGUGGCAGUAUCGAUGCCUUUUUCCUCUUCUACUCGAUUCCUUGACCUGUUUCCUUUCACUGUUAGAUUGUGAAAGUCCAUGUGACGUUCGUGUCAAGAUGAGCGGCCGUUCCUGCUGACAUUGUGUCAACUAGAUGGUUGUAUUCUUAAAACUUAUCAAUCAAUUGGAGUCGGUUUCUAUAAUUGUUUUCCCUUCAGAAGUUUUUAACCUGCUUAAUGCUUAUUGUUCAGAAUUUUAGGUGCUCUUUUGUCAGAGACCGCUUGAUGGUUUGGUUGGAACUCUAUGAUUUAGCCUAUUAUUGGUGGCAACUAAUUAGGCAUCGAUACUGUGAAUCAGUAAACACUUGCAACAGGACUAUUUUUUUAACUUCCGGACAUUUUUAUUUAUGUGAAAAAUACUUUGUUCUAUCCUUUUUUAUGUGUACUAAUGUGUCUUUUUCUCUAUCCUUUUUCCUGUAUACUAAUGUGUCUUUAUUUAGUGCAAUGCCGAGGUUUCCUCCAUGCUUCCAUACAAUGUCGGAGUACAUCAGAUGUUGCAGUCUGUUCAUCCUGGAUAGUGCUGAGGAUGAAUACAAACUUAUAUGUAAUUGGUUGGUGCUUGCUUUACAUAAGACGGCCACUGUUCCACUUCUGUUUUUUUUUACUUGGUCCUGUACAUGUCUACCGUGUUGUAGUUAAAGUUUCUGAUGUACACUUGUUCCAGCCACAAACAUGGAAGCAAGUUGUUCCUAUAAACCCAUGAUACCCACAAACAUUUUUAGAUCAAUAUUUACA